This 406-nucleotide ribosomal RNA is filed under the name uncultured bacterium. RNAcentral's name for it is "partial 16S ribosomal RNA". It matches the Rfam family "Bacterial small subunit ribosomal RNA", at positions 30 to 526 of the family's 1533-position model. The record is from RNAcentral.
AUUGAACGCUGGCGGCAGGCCUAACACAUGCAAGUCGAACGAGUGGCGGAGGGGAGAGUAAUGUCUGGGAAACUGCCUGAUGGAGGGGGAAAACUCCUGGAACCGGUAGCAAAUACCGAAAACCUUCAGAUUUGCCAAGAUGGGAUUAUCUUGUUGGUGGGGUAACGGCUCACCACGGCGACGAUCCCUAGUGGGUCUGAGAGGAUGACCAGCCACACUGUAACUGAGACACGGUCCAGACUCCUACGGGAGGCAGCAGUGGGGAAUAUUGCACAAUGGGCGCAAGCCUGAUGCAGCCAUGCCGCGUGAAUGAAGAAGGCCUUCGGGUUGUAAAGUACUUUCAGCGGGGAGGCGUUACCCGCAGAGGAAGCACCGGCUAACUCCGUGCCAGCAGCCGCGGUAAUUC